Molecule: ribosomal RNA, 253 nt
Filed under: uncultured bacterium
Lineage: Bacteria
Description: partial 16S ribosomal RNA
Rfam family: Bacterial small subunit ribosomal RNA
Source: RNAcentral
UACGAGGGGGGCGAGCGUUGUUCGGAAUUAUUGGGCGUAAAGGGUGCGUAGGCGGUUCCGCAAGUCCUGUGUGAAAUCUUCGGGCUCAACUCGACGUCUGCACGGGAAACUGCGGGGCUUGAGUGUGGGAGAGGUGAGUGGAAUUCCCGGUGUAGCGGUGAAAUGCGUAGAUAUCAGGAGGAACACCGGUGGUGUAGACGGCUUUCUGGACCGUAACUGACGCUGAGACACGAAAGCGUGGGUAGCAAACAGG